AAAUUUCAAUCCAAAGUUGGUCCAAGAUUUCUCUCCCCUGUUGUUGGGUGACCUGAUUAUGACGUCACUGGCUUAGAGGACAAUGGAGUACUUGAACAGUCCAGUUUAUGGAGUAGAAUCUUCUGUAGUCCUGGCGACAGUCUCAUUGUGCUCUCAUUAUCGGUGCCUCAGUUCAUCUCCUGCUCACUGUGACCUUGUCAACCUCUUGCUUGGCAAUCCUGUGGCCAUCCAGAAGGAUUCACCUGAUGAUAGGCAUUGUGGCCCAGUGGAUACAACUGUGCUUGGAAUCAAGAACCCAUGAGUUUAAAUCUCAUCUCCUGAACUGUUACUACUUGUGGGAUCCUGGGGCAAGUUACACGGAUUCAACAUUCUCAUUUGGAAAAUGGGAAUAACGCCGACUGGAGCUCCCGAGGAGAGUUUCUGAGGGAAGACCAGAGGAGAAGUGAUUUCUGACCCAUAAUGCUCAGUGGAUGUGUCGGCUGGGGUGAUGGAGAACAGAUAUCCUGGGCUGACUGAGAAACGCCUCUGCCAUGAGUGGAAUGACAGUGACAGAGUUUGUCUGAGGGCACAAGAUGUCCAGAUGCUCAGGUGGAUCGUCAGUGCACCUACUACGCACCAAGCCCUGUGCUAAGGUCCACUAAAUGCUCGACCUACAACACAAUGGACCAUCUACUCACGAUGGCGGCAGAUCCCUGAGCAGCAAACACCUGUGAAAGCGUCAGGAACAGAUCCCACCCCAGCUCCAGGACCUCCUAGCCGUGGGACUGGGAGCUCCAGAGAUGGCGGUUCUAGACUGGGUCUUCAGGAGCUUCAAAGGCCUUUCCCACUCCUGCCUCAGGAUCAGGAAGCCCAGAGAUGGCCCUAGAUGCAGUGGGAGACCUGUGAGUACAGCCUCAGGCAAACUCAGACCACAUGAAGGAUCCCACCAGGUGAGCGUCUGCUGAAGCCCAUGAAGAACCAUCUCAUGUCUGUUUUAUUCAUGAGGAGAGGAGACAGGAAAAGAUGAAUGUUUUCUUCUCUGCUCAAGUUCACGGCCCGCCUCCUGCCGUCUCCCCGGGGCCCUAACUCCUGCCCUGGAUGACCUUUGGGGCCCCACAAGCCUCCCUAGUGGCUGGUCCCUCACCACCGGGCCCUCCUCCCUCCCUUGAGGCCCUAUUUCUUUCCCCAAACUCCUGGGUCGUGGGGGAGGCGAGGCUGGUGCUUUCUGUCUGGUUUCCCGGCCUCGGAAACAACACAAGGGCAAAAUGGCUGGAAGCAUGAUACUGACACGGGAGCCUAGGGGCCCAGAGAGACUCCUGAGGCAGGAGUGACUGGAGGCAGGACGGUCCCGCGGGAGGACAAGCGACAACAGAUGGACGGCUGCGGUGUUGCCCUGGGACCGGCCCGGGUGCAGAAAAGGACCAAGGUCCCGGGGGGCUGAAGAGAAGAGGAGGAGAAUCAGAGAAGGCCAAGGGAGGGAGGAAGAACCCCCUGCAGCAACAUCAUGGAUUCGCCGAGGAUCUGCGCCUGCUCGGGAAGAGCUCCAUUUUCUAAUUUAAUUUAUUCAGUUUUAAAUUAAAGUUCCCCAGGGUUAGCUUGCCUCCCUGGCCCUGUG
Molecule: long non-coding RNA, 1594 nt
Organism: Sarcophilus harrisii (Tasmanian devil)
Lineage: Eukaryota; Metazoa; Chordata; Mammalia; Dasyuromorphia; Dasyuridae
Exons: 5
Source: RefSeq, a predicted model, not a curated record